Molecule: ribosomal RNA, 28 nt
Filed under: Hoya ciliata
Lineage: Eukaryota; Viridiplantae; Streptophyta; Magnoliopsida; Gentianales; Apocynaceae
Description: partial 26S ribosomal RNA
Source: RNAcentral
CCAGGUCAGGCGGGGCUACCCGCUGAGU